GAUGAAGAACGCAGCGAAAUGCGAUACGUAAUGUGAAUUGCAGAAUUCAGUGAAUCAUCGAAUCUUUGAACGCAUAUUGCGCUCUCUGGUAUUCCGGAGAGCAUGCUUGUUUGAGUAUCAGUAAACACCUCAACUUCCAUAUCUUUUUUGAAAUGGGAGUUGGACUUGAGUGAUCCCAACGCUUUUCCUCACCGAACAGUGGCGGGUUACUUGAAAUGCAGGUGCAGCUGGACUUUUCUCUGAGCUAUAAGCAUAUCUAUUUAGUCUGCCUAAAAAACAGAUUAUUACCUUUGCUGCAGCUAACAUAAAGGAGAUUAGUUCUUGUGCUGACUGAUGCAGGAUUCACAAAGACAGGCUUCGGCCGACUUUGUAAACUCGAUCUCAAAUCAAGUAAGACUACCCGCUGAACUUAAGCAUAUCAAUAAGCGGAGGA
This 433-nucleotide unclassified non-coding RNA is filed under the name soil metagenome. Its description in RNAcentral is "partial contains 5.8S ribosomal RNA, internal transcribed spacer 2, and large subunit ribosomal RNA". The stretch from base 1 to 120 matches the Rfam family "5.8S ribosomal RNA", at positions 35 to 154 of the family's 154-position model. The record is from RNAcentral.